Molecule: ribosomal RNA, 484 nt
Filed under: uncultured bacterium
Lineage: Bacteria
Description: partial 16S ribosomal RNA
Rfam family: Bacterial small subunit ribosomal RNA
Source: RNAcentral
AUUGAACGCUGGCGGCAGGCCUAACACAUGCAAGUCGAGCGGAUGAAGGGAGCUUGCUCCUGGAUUCAGCGGCGGACGGGUGAGUAAUGCCUAGGAAUCUGCCUGGUAGUGGGGGAUAACGUCCGGAAACGGGCGCUAAUACCGCAUACGUCCUGAGGGAGAAAGUGGGGGAUCUUCGGACCUCACGCUAUCAUAUGAGCCUAGGUCGGAUUAGCUAGUUGGUGGGGUAAAGGCCUACCAAGGCGACGAUCCGUAACUGGUCUGAGAGGAGGAUCAGUCACACGGGAACUGGAACACGGUCCAGAGUCCUAAGGGAGGCAGCAGUGGGGAAUAUUGGACAAUGGGCGAAAGCAUGAUCCAGCCAUGCCGCGUGUGUGAAGAAGGUCUUCGGAUUGUAAAGCACUUUAAGUUGGGAGGAAGGGCAGUAAGUUAAUACCUUGCUGUUUUGACGUUACCAACAGAAGAAGCACCGGCUAACUUCGUG